This 1044-nucleotide ribosomal RNA is filed under the name Triticum aestivum (bread wheat). RNAcentral's name for it is "partial small subunit ribosomal RNA". Lineage: Eukaryota; Viridiplantae; Streptophyta; Magnoliopsida; Poales; Poaceae. The record is from RNAcentral.
AUGGGCUCGCGGUACGAGGUGGAGAUCACCGUCGGCUCCGCCCGCGACCUCAAGAACGUCAACUGGCGCAACGGCGACCUCAAGCCCUACGCCGUGCUCUGGAUCGACGCCGGCGCGCGCUGCUCCACCCGCGUCGACCUCGACAACGGCGACAACCCCGCCUGGGACGAGAAGGUGCUCGUCCCGCUCCCGCCCGCCAGCCGCCUGGAGGACGCCGUGCUCUACAUCGACGUCGUCCACGCCAACGCCGCCGAGGGCGUCAAGCCGCUCGUCGGCUCGGCCCGGCUCCCUCUCCGCGACGUCGUCGACGACGCCGGCGUCGGGGGCAAGGCGUCCAGGAACCUGAGGCUGAAGCGCCCCUCCGGGAGGCCCCAGGGGAAGCUUGACGUCCGCGUCGCCGUCAAGGAGCCGGCCAGGUACUACGACUCCAACGUCCCUGGCGGCUACCCGGCGCCCGCGGGGUACGGCUCCUCCCGCGAUGCCUACGGUGGUGGGUAUGGUGCCGGAGCCGGCGCGUACGGCGCCGCGGCGGGGGCCGGAGGCUACGGAGCGUACGCGGCCGCGGCGCCUCCGUCGGGGUACCCGGGCUACGGCUCCACCGCGCCGCCUCCCCAGGCCGCAGCACCGUACGGCUCCGCUCCACCUCCCUACGGCGCCGCGCCCCCGGCUCAGGGAGCAGGCGCCUACGGCUCCUCUGUUCAGCCGGCAUACGGCGCCGCACCGCCGACUCAGGGAGCGGGCGCGUACGGCUCCUCUGCUUCUGCUUACGGCGCGGCGCAGCCGGGUCAGGCGGCGGGGUACGGUGGCACGACGGGGGUGGGCCUGGACCAGAGCGGCGGGAAGACGAAGAAGAAGGGGAUGGGGAUGGCGGGCGGGCUGGCGGUGGGCGCGGCGGCGGGCGUGCUGGGCGGGCUGGCGCUGGCGGGCGGGGCGAGCUACGUGGAGCACAAGAUCGAGGACCACGUGACGGAGCGCGUGGAGGAGGACAUGUACCGCGGCGGCGGCGGUGGGUACGACGACUACGGCGGCGACGACGACUACUAG